Raphanus sativus (radish) is the source of this 1908-nucleotide long non-coding RNA. RefSeq lists it as uncharacterized. The record is from RefSeq and is a predicted model, not a curated record. NCBI's taxonomy places the organism in Eukaryota, Viridiplantae, Streptophyta, Magnoliopsida, Brassicales, Brassicaceae. The transcript has 2 exons.
AGAUAAUUAAUAAACAUUAACCUGUGUUACUGAUAUAUAUACUAUUAUUUUAAAAUAAUAAUAAUUAUUAUGAUAUUUAGGACAUCUAUACUAUACUAAAAGGAAGAUAUCCUCAAAAGAGAGACAUGCCACAUCAGAUUAAAAAAUCUUCCAAUCAGAUACCUUCAAAUUGCCAUGUCACACAUGUUUUUAGUCUUCACAGAAAAACAGGUCAUUAUAGGCUUGGCUUCGAACAAUAAAACAAUUCGAGAUGACAUAUCCCUUCGCAUCCCUGCCAAUUGUAGUUACCACAUAUCACUCUGUAUCAUUUCACUAUACUCUUUAUUCCUUUAUUUAUUGUUUCGUUUCACCUCCUUUUGCUCUCCUCCUAUAUAAUGCUAUGGCAUGAAAUCCACAAGAAAAUAAAGCCAUUGCCAUGAAAUCCAAGGAAAGUCAACCGUCUCCAGUAUGUUUGGCACUUGCCUUACUGGAUAUCAGAGCUUGCAAAGUGAGUAUAAUCUCAAGAAUGCUUUGAAAGAUGAGUUAUCUUCCUGUGUAGAGAUCACCCAUGUUUAUAUUCCAUUAGACUUUCACGGCCGACUUUCUUUCCCCAAGUUCGUGACUUCAUCCUUCUUCCAAUUCGUGAUAACUGCUGUGAAUUUAUUUACCUAAUUUUUUUCUUUUACAUAUGCAAUUACAUUUCAUUGCAUGUGUUCAAAGGUUUGGAAAUCCUUCACAAAAAGAUCCAUGAUUUCCUAUCUUCAUCCGUACAUAAAUUUGCUCAUGACUCUUGAUUUGAUUUCAAAAGUGAAACGUCUCUCAUGAAUUUUUUUUUUAAUUAUCGUAGCUCAUUGUAUCAAGAUUCACAUGAUCAAAAGUAUGAAGAAGGUAAGAAAUUAUCUCUCAUCUGGUGUGAUAACUCAACUUAUAGAAAGAGGCACUUUUGAAAUGUUUUUCAAUUCAGUCUACGUGAUAAUAUUUGUUAGUAGCUUCACACUACCACUCCAAGGGUUAAGUUAAAACCAGCAAGUAAAGAAAAAAGCUGGUAAGCUUCAAAUCCAAAAUUUUAUAUGUUUCAGUUGUUCUGUUGCAAUAUAAUAAAAUUAACAAUAGUUCUUAUUUCCACUAUAUAAUUUUGUCUACUUUGAAAGGAAUAUGGUCACUUAAUUUUAAUAUCUUGGAAGACAUAUUACGAGGACUCUAAGCUAUAAAAUAUGUAGUGUUGCAUUACAUGGCGUGCUAUUUUGAAAGUGUUCUGAACUUGAGCCAUUUAGAAACCCAUUUAGACAAGCCAUUUUUACUGAUUCCAACACCGUAUGAUUCUAAAUUCUUGAAUUAAUAUAUUUCCUUUGAUUCAAAAAAAUAUCGUAGAUAAUACUCUAGAAAAUCUGCAGGAACAGUAACAUUUAGAUUUUGAGAGGCGUAAAGAAUACGCAGGAACAGAGACAGAGAGAUUACAUUUGGUGGCAGAGGUGAGAAGCUGCAGAGAAGACAGAGACCGAGAGAGUCACCUUUGGGUGGCCAAGUUAUCUUGAGAAGAAAAGAAGAGAGGCUCAAGAGAUACAACAUACAAGGGAAUGAUCAACAAAAUUUGGAGGAACAGAAACGAAUAGAUACUGACUAGGGAGAUUCUCUUGCAUCUGGCAAGGAGAAUGGUCUUAGUUUUGGUUUACUGAUUUUAAUCACUUGUGAUCCUGAGUCGUGGAACUAGAUGGUUCAUGAAGACUAUAUCUUAGAGAAUCUCAGCGAUGGUGGUCAUUAUACUCUAUAUAACAACAUGCAUGUGAGAAACGAAGUGGUUCAAAUCAAAACCAGAACUGACGAUUGAAAGAAAAGUGGGAACAGAGUAACCAUACACCUCAAAUAGAAUACUCAACUGAUUACUUUAGACGCAAUAAACUGAUUUGCAGUAAAAAAUUAAGUUGCUUA